CCUACGGGUGGCAGCAGUGGGGAAUAUUGCACAAUGGGGGAAACCCUGAUGCAGCGACGCCGCGUGAGUGAAGAAGUAUUUCGGUAUGUAAAGCUCUAUCAGCAGGGAAGAAAAUGACAGUACCUGACCAAGAAGCCCCGGCUAACUACGUGCCAGCAGCCGCGGUAAUACGUAGGGGGCAAGCGUUAUCCGGAUUUACUGGGUGGAAAGGGAGCGUAGACGGUUAUGUAAGUCUGGAGUGAAAGCCCGGGGCCCAACCCCGGGACUGCCUUGGAAACUGUGUAACUGGAGUACAGGAGGGGCAAGGGGAAUUCCCUGUGUAGCGGUGAAAGGCGGAGAUAUCAGGAGGAACACCAGCGGCGAAGGCGGCCCGCUGGACUGAAACUGACGUUGAGGCUCGAAAGCGUGGGGAGCAAACAGGAUUAGAUACCCUUGUAGUC
Molecule: ribosomal RNA, 440 nt
Filed under: uncultured bacterium
Lineage: Bacteria
Description: partial 16S ribosomal RNA
Rfam family: Bacterial small subunit ribosomal RNA
Source: RNAcentral